This 503-nucleotide ribosomal RNA is filed under the name uncultured bacterium. Its description in RNAcentral is "bacterial SSU rRNA". It matches the Rfam family "Bacterial small subunit ribosomal RNA", at positions 101 to 591 of the family's 1533-position model. The record is from RNAcentral.
AACGGGUGAGUAACACGUGGGCAACCUGCCCAAAAGAGGGGGAUAACACUUGGAAACAGGUGCUAAUACCGCAUAACCAUAGUUACCGCAUGGUAACUAUGUAAAAGGUGGCUAUACUACCGCUUUUGGAUGGGCCCGCGGCGCAUUAGCUAGUUGGUAGGGUAAAGGCUUACCAAGGCAACGAUGCGUAACCGAAUUGAGAGGUUGAUCGGCCACAUUGGGACUGAGACACGGCCCAAACUCCUACAGGAGGCAGCAGUAGGGAAUCUUCCACAAUGGGCGAAAGCCUGAUGGAGCAACGCCGCGUGGGUGAAGAAGGUCUUCGGAUCGUAAAACCCUGUUGUUAGAGAAGAAAGUGCGUGAGAGUAACUGUUCACGUUUCGACGGUAUCUAACCAGAAAGCCACGGCUAACUACGUGCCAGCAGCCGCGGUAAUACGUAGGUGGCAAGCGUUAUCCGGAUUUAUUGGGCGUAAAGGGAACGCAGGCGGUCUUUUAAGUCUG